AUGAAAAACAAGCCGUUAAGUGACAGUGGUGAGGAAAAGUGUCUGGUACGUAACUGGCAAUACGCGACUUAAUAGCGUUUGUUGGUGGUUCCAAGUAAAAAAUGGCGCCUAAAAAACAUCCAGUCAAAUUCACACUAAAGUUAAGGGGGAGAGCAAAGAAGGAACAUAUCAACGAAACAACGAACACCUGAUGCUAAAAGGCCAGAGCGACGUUAGCAUGCCUGUCACCAAACAGCUAAGCCAGCUGACUAGCUACUACGUUGGUACUAGUGAUAAAUUGGUAACUUCGGUUUCGAGAAACAUAAUUUCCUUGAACAAAGGAAAAGAAGCUUACUAUUGUUUCCAAAGCUAGGAACAAGGAUGCAAAGUUUGCUCAUCCCUAACCCAAAGACUACAACUGGCGAAAAGUGGCGCACUUCUGCGGUAAUGACGACGGAGGAAAGUAAGAAAUGGAUUAUUGCGCCAUUGCAAUUAAAACUGUUGAAGAACGUGUCGGAAAGUUGGACCACAACUCAAGAAUUCAUCUGCCCUGUGUCGGGGAGUAAUGUCUCACCUAAAAGUACAUUGCUCAGCUUCUGUUCCGGUACUCAUGUCUACUUCUCCAAACUGAGAGUGCACCGAUCUGGAUCUACCGCAGAGCCCAGCACUCCCGCACCACUGAGACUUCUUUCCGCCCCAGGUCUGCAUUGAUUGGCCACCAGCACUCCUCCUUCCACCUUGCCUCCUAUUAUCUGCUACUUUCUGUGGUUUGGAGUCCUUCCAGCUGGCCUCCCUUUCUUGCUCUGUGGUUUUGUUCAGGAGAUUUCAUCUCUCUCCUCAUCGUUCCUGCAGAUUGACAGCUAAGCUCAGGUAUGAAAACAAACAGCUCUGGAAUUGACUGGUGAAAAGAAAUCCGCCACUAAUGCUCCUUCACAAACUCUCCUUCUUUUUCCUGCCCCUGUUGAUGCUAAGCCCUAGCAGCUUACAAGAAAAGGUGGUAGAGAUUUGAAAUCAUUAACUAUUAAUAACACCAUUCUACAUGUCUGUCUUAAGAACACUGCCUCUACUGGAUUAUUGCUCUUGUUUCUACCAACACUUAAACCUAAAAAACGUCUUUACCUCGGAAACAUCACAUUAUGUAGCCAAACACCCACAUGACAAUAAGAUAUAAUUAUAGAUGUGUCAUCUGUAAGAGGUACAUGGU
Long non-coding RNA from Seriola aureovittata, 1183 nucleotides. RefSeq lists it as uncharacterized. The transcript has 4 exons. Lineage: Eukaryota; Metazoa; Chordata; Actinopteri; Carangiformes; Carangidae. The record is from RefSeq and is a predicted model, not a curated record.